This 447-nucleotide ribosomal RNA is filed under the name uncultured bacterium. RNAcentral's name for it is "bacterial SSU rRNA". It matches the Rfam family "Bacterial small subunit ribosomal RNA", at positions 355 to 825 of the family's 1533-position model. The record is from RNAcentral.
UGGGGAAUUUUGGACAAUGGGCGCAAGCCUGACCCAGCAACGCCGCGUGAAGGAUGAAGUAUUUCGGUAUGUAAACUUCGAAAGAAUAGGAAGAAUAAAUGACGGUACUAUUUAUAAGGUCCGGCUAACUACGUGCCAGCAGCCGCGGUAAUACGUAGGGACCAAGCGUUGUUCGGAUUUACUGGGCGUAAAGGGCGCGUAGGCGGCAUGACAAGUCACUUGUGAAAUCUCUGGGCUUAACCCAGAACGGCCAAGUGAUACUGUCGCGCUAGAGUGCAGAAGGGGCAAUCGGAAUUCUUGGUGUAGCGGUGAAAUGCGUAGAUAUCAAGAGGAACACCUGAGGUGAAGACGGGUUGCUGGGCUGACACUGACGCUGAGGCGCGAAAGCCAGGGGAGCAAACGGGAUUAGAUACCCCUGUAGUCCCUGAGCGGGCUGGCAAGGCGCAU